RNAcentral lists this long non-coding RNA (299 nucleotides) under Elaeis guineensis (African oil palm). RNAcentral describes it as "long non-coding RNA (EGUI_LNC028978)". Lineage: Eukaryota; Viridiplantae; Streptophyta; Magnoliopsida; Arecales; Arecaceae. The record is from RNAcentral.
GAGUUUUACUACAUUUCACCUCUUAUAAAGUCAUAUCACCGCUCCUAUACGAUAGUCAAGGAUCGAUGUUGUAAUUGUUGCAGAUAAUUAAAAAAAUUAUUGAAUAGAUAUAAAAAAUAGUUUUAAAAAUAAUAUGAAUUGGGAAAAAUAAAAAUGUAAAGUAAAACUUAAACACAUGAGGUGUUAGAAAUUUUUCUAAAUCAUUAUUAUCUCUCGUAUAGGAUAGAUGGAUCUAACGCUCCCAAGAUAUAACUAAUAUUCAACUCAACCUAGCCCCUUCCUAUCGCAACACAAGCACA